This 253-nucleotide ribosomal RNA is filed under the name uncultured bacterium. RNAcentral's name for it is "partial 16S ribosomal RNA". It matches the Rfam family "Bacterial small subunit ribosomal RNA", at positions 524 to 776 of the family's 1533-position model. The record is from RNAcentral.
UACGAAGGGGGCUAGCGUUGUUCGGAUUUACUGGGCGUAAAGCGCACGUAGGCGGAUCUUUUAGUCAGGGGUGAAAUCCCGAGGCUCAACCUCGGAACUGCCUUUGAUACUGGGGAUCUUGAGUUCGGGAGAGGUGAGUGGAACUGCGAGUGUAGAGGUGAAAUUCGUAGAUAUUCGCAAGAACACCAGUGGCGAAGGCGGCUCACUGGCCCGAUACUGACGCUGAGGCACGAAAGCGUGGGGAGCAAACAGG